AAGUCGUAACAAGGUUUCCGUAGGUGAACCUGCGGAAGGAUCAUUAACACGUAUCCAAACGUUAAAAACCCUGUGAACUUUCAUGCAGCUCCCGUAACCCGCAAGGAACAGCAAUCCCGGUAAAUCAUUGUUGAACAGUUUUGAUUCGGGACCUCUGUACAGUUACGGUCGUAGCUUAGAGUCAGUGGCAUGGCUUCCCCAAGCAGUAGUGAAAUGACAUUGUCACUAUCUGUGUAAGGAUAACGCCUCACGGUUGCUAGAGGUCGGUCACAGGGCUAUAUGCCCCCUAACCACCCCUUGCACGAAUGUCUCGCCUAGUGGUCACGCGCUUGGCACCAAAACGAACAACUGUUAACAAUGGAUAUCUUGGUUCUC
This 375-nucleotide unclassified non-coding RNA is filed under the name fungal sp. RNAcentral describes it as "partial internal transcribed spacer region". The stretch from base 1 to 46 matches the Rfam family "Eukaryotic small subunit ribosomal RNA", at positions 1786 to 1831 of the family's 1831-position model. Lineage: Eukaryota; Fungi. The record is from RNAcentral.